AGAGUUUGAUCUUGGCUCAGGACGAACGCUGGCGGCGUGCCUAAUACAUGCAAGUCGAGCGGACCUUUCGGGGUCAGCGGCGGACGGGUGAGUAACACGUGGGCAAUCUGCCUUUCAGACCGGAAUAACACCCGUGAAACGGGUGCUAAUGCCGGAUAGGCAACAAGAUGGCAUCAUCUUGCUGGGAAAGAUGCUUCGGCAUUACUGAGAGAGGAGCCCGCGGCGCAUUAGCUUGUUGGUGGGGUAACGGCCUACCAAGGCGACGAUGCGUAGCCGACCUGAGAGGGUGACCGGCCACACUGGGACUGAGACACGGCCCAGACUCCUACGGGAGGCAGCAGUAGGGAAUCUUCCGCAAUGGGCGCAAGCCUGACGGAGCAACGCCGCGUGAGCGAUGAAGGCCUUCGGGUUGUAAAGCUCAGUCAUUCGGGAAGAGCGGACAGGAGAGGAAAUGCUCCUGUCGAGACGGUACCGGAAGAGGAAGCCCCGGCUAACUACGUGCCAGCAGCCGCGGUAAUACGUAGGGGGCAAGCGUUGUCCGGAAUCACUGGGCGUAAAGCGUGCGUAGGCGGCUUUGUAAGUCUGGGGUGAAAACUCAAGGCUCAACCUUGAGAAUGCCUUGGAAACUGUGAGGCUUGAGUACUGGAGAGGCAAGGGGAAUUCCACGUGUAGCGGU
This 676-nucleotide ribosomal RNA is filed under the name uncultured bacterium. Its description in RNAcentral is "bacterial SSU rRNA". It matches the Rfam family "Bacterial small subunit ribosomal RNA", at positions 8 to 682 of the family's 1533-position model. The record is from RNAcentral.